AGCGCUUCGGGACAACGCGGGGCCGUCCUCGCUGACAGGAGUCCAGUCUCCUCAGGACCUGCCCGGAGGUGCCGACGCGGGAGGAAGUUGUGAGGAGAAAGUGGGGAGACUUCCUGGGCUUGCGCACACGCGUUCCCCGCGGGCUCGACUCUGCGCCCAGCUGAGAGCAGUUGGGUCUCCUCGGGCACCGCCGGGGCUUCGGCUGGGACGCCCGGGUCAGCGUCUCUGCUGACAGAGCUCAGUCUCCUUAGGACUCGCCGGGGUUUCAGCUUUAGGACAACACGGGGCUGCGUCCACGCUGACGGGAGCUGGGUUUCCUGACGACCCAGGCGACGCCGGGAGGAAAAGGCACUUUGCAGAUGCACGGAGUAAAGAGGUGAGACAGGGUAACCCUCCUGUCAUGAAACACACAUACCAGCGGGCGAUGUGGAGCAGCGCUAACAGCAAGCAGCCACCAGGAAAUCAAGAUUUGGAAGAAGGUGGAGGAACUGGACUGGG
Molecule: long non-coding RNA, 498 nt
Organism: Mesoplodon densirostris (Blainville's beaked whale)
Lineage: Eukaryota; Metazoa; Chordata; Mammalia; Artiodactyla; Ziphiidae
Exons: 3
Source: RefSeq, a predicted model, not a curated record